UCGAUGAGUAGGGCGGGACACGUGGUAUCCUGUCUGAAUAUGGGGGGACCAUCCUCCAAGGCUAAAUACUCCUGACUGACCGAUAGUGAACCAGUACCGUGAGGGAAAGGCGAAAAGAACCCCGGCGAGGGGAGUGAAAAAGAACCUGAAACCGUGUACGUACAAGCAGUGGGAGCCUCUUUUAUGGGGUGACUGCGUACCUUUUGUAUAAUGGGUCAGCGACUUAUAUUCUGUAGCAAGGUUAACCGAAUAGGGGAGCCGAAGGGAAACCGAGUCUUAACUGGGCGUUAAGUUGCAGGGUAUAGACCCGAAACCCGGUGAUCUAGCCAUGGGCAGGUUGAAGGUUGGGUAACACUAACUGGAGGACCGAACCGACUAAUGUUGAAAAAUUAGCGGAUGACUUGUGGCUGGGGGUGAAAGGCCAAUCAAACCGGGAGAUAGCUGGUUCUCCCCGAAAGCUAUUUAGGUAGCGCCUCGUGAAUUCAUCUCCGGGGGUAGAGCACUGUUUCGGCAAGGGGGUCAUCCCGACUUACCAACCCGAUGCAAACUGCGAAUACCGGAGAAUGUUAUCACGGGAGACACACGGCGGGUGCUAACGUCCGUCGUGAAGAGGGAAACAACCCAGACCGCCAGCUAAGGUCCCAAAGUCAUGGUUAAGUGGGAAACGAUGUGGGAAGGCCCAGACAGCCAGGAUGUUGGCUUAGAAGCAGCCAUCAUUUAAAGAAAGCGUAAUAGCUCACUGGUCGAGUCGGCCUGCGCGGAAGAUGUAACGGGGCUAAACCAUG
This 785-nucleotide ribosomal RNA is filed under the name Escherichia coli. Its description in RNAcentral is "partial 23S ribosomal RNA". It matches the Rfam family "Bacterial large subunit ribosomal RNA", at positions 405 to 1191 of the family's 2925-position model. Lineage: Bacteria; Pseudomonadati; Pseudomonadota; Gammaproteobacteria; Enterobacterales; Enterobacteriaceae. The record is from RNAcentral.